This 285-nucleotide ribosomal RNA is filed under the name Clostridioides difficile. Its description in RNAcentral is "partial 16S ribosomal RNA". It matches the Rfam family "Bacterial small subunit ribosomal RNA", at positions 840 to 1122 of the family's 1533-position model. The record is from RNAcentral. Lineage: Bacteria; Bacillati; Bacillota; Clostridia; Peptostreptococcales; Peptostreptococcaceae.
UCGGUGCCGCAGCUAACGCAUUAAGUACUCCGCCUGGGAAGUACGCUCGCAAGAGUGAAACUCAAAGGAAUUGACGGGGACCCGCCCAAGUAGCGGAGCAUGUGGUUUAAUUCGAAGCAACGCGAAGAACCUUACCUAAGCUUGACAUCCCAAUGACCUCUCCUUAAUCGGAGAGUUCCCUUCGGGGACAUUGGUGACAGGUGGUGCAUGGUUGUCGUCAGCUCGUGUCGUGAGAUGUUGGGUUAAGUCCCGCAACGCGCGCAACCCUUGUCUUUAGUUGCCAUC